GGCCAUCUGUAUUUAUAUAUUUUCUCGAAAAAAUCUGUUUGUAUAUACAACAUAUUAGUUUACAAAUCCUUCAUCUAAUGAUAACUUACAACAUAGAUUCACUAAAUAUAUUACUGAAGAAGGUUAAGAAGCACUACAAUCCAGUUUACAUCAACAAAACAUAAAAACUUUUGAGGCUGCUGUUCAGGUUCUUCGUCGACUCUCCUGAUGGCAACUAUCAUGUCAUGGCGAGGAUUAUGGUGGGUAGCACUAUGUAGCCCACUACCCAAUCAUACCUAGCAUAUUUAAAAGAACAUUAAAUUUUUGCAGAUUCAUAGAUAGUAGAGACAAGAGUAUUACAACAAGCGUAAAAAUGUAUUACAUGUCCACUUGGCCAGCAUUGAGAGUACUAUUACUUAUAACAGGAAAAAUAAUGAAAUGAAACAAACCAGUAUAUUUGAAUAGAAGGUGACAAGAACUACAAAUAUAAUCUAUUACAUGGCUUACAAAUUACUUCAUGGUUAUUAAGGUACAGGCUAAAUCAUAAAACACGAACACCAACAGCAAGUGUUAUUAUGAACUGGAUAACCUUGCAACGCCCAAUUGCUCUCAUCUACCCACUUGACCAGCAUAGUACUGUUAUCUAUAACAGGAAACAAUAAUGAAAGGAACCAAUAUACAUGUAUACAGGACAACAAUAGGAACAAGAAAUCAGAGAAAGAGAUUCAAGUCAUAGUGAAAUCAAGGACAUAAGAGAGAAGAUAAAUUGGAUUGUUUUAUAUAAAAUCAAAGUUCAGAAAUGUGCAGAGAUAUUCAGUGGUGGACGUUGGGAGGACCAUAAUUAUUUUUGUAUACACUAUUUAAUUGCAUGUGCGUUACAACGGGAAUAUACAUAUUCUAGUUGUUCAUACAUCUUCCAGUUGUUCAACACCAAUCUUGGCUAACAUAUAUUUUUAGUAUCCUAAUGCACAUUAGGCCGAAUUGUAAAAAAAAAAAUCUUCCUCUCCACAUACUAUCUCAGUCAUACAGAUCCAUGUUAUCAGUUCCCUUUCCUCGCCCAUUCACACACACUUUGAAUUUAAAACACAUAACCAUCCAGCUGGCAUAUUUCACAAUGUGCUUAUCUUGACAAGGCAUGUCUACCAUUUUCAAUUGUGUCACGUAAACUUCCCCCUCUCCCUAUCCUUUCCUCUCUUCAACCCUCAAUUACUCAACAGAUUCAGACAUUUUGAUGUGCAGCAACAUAUUUAAUUAAUAUUAUGGUACCACAAAUUCAUAUAUUUGUUGAAUUGACACACAUGUUUGACGACCAAUUUUAUGGAGAAAAAAAAACCAACACACGAGACAAACAACUAAAUGGAUAUUUUGUAUUCCUUUUCAUAUGUUUGGUAGCAAGGUAAUAUGUGUAGGCAUUUAUUGUUCCUUCUUAUUUGACAAUUGCUUACAGAUCUUAACGACACGAGACUGAUUAACAUCACAAGUCUAAAGAAACAAUAUUGAUAACAAGAAAAGGUAGAUAUCUAAAAAGUGUACUCGUUUGUGGUGUUGUCUAGUGAAAGAUAAAAAGAAUGUUUCCUUACCAACAGAUUCCCAAUUUCUCUUGAUGUCAUCAACUCCAGCAAAGUGAAAGCUUCUAGCAUAAACCAACUCUGAGGAUCUGACAUGUAAAUCCUCCUGGAGAGUUACAGUCCACUAUGCUAUCAUGGGCCGGUACUGUUACAUGAAGCAGACAGGAGUUUUAAAGAUUGAUAUGCAUGGAUCAUACCUAACCUUUACUUGCAUGAAUCGAGCAGUACAGUGUAACUAAAAUCAUGAUGUGCAAUUCGUAGAAUGAAUGGUUUCAGUGUUUCGUUGUCAAUGUCAACCAAUCAAAUCGGCGCACCAUUCACAGAGAGCCUGGUCAAAUCAACAUUUUACUUUCUUCAUCUCCUCUAUGUGCAUGUAUAUUAGCAUUGCGUUCGAAACACACAUAGCCACACACCCUUUAGCAUCAGAAUUAUAAUAAUCAAAGGAUACCAGAUUCAGCAAAAGGUUGUACAUGCAUCAGGUCGUACUGUGUAUUAGACGAUGGGUGAUGAUGGGUGCACAACACGUCCGGCCGGCGGCAGGUAGACGCGUCAACCUUGUUCCUGCACAUCAAGCCAGCUGUGGCAUGGCUUCUACAUGAUCUCUCCUUCAGUGCAGGGACCUUGGGGUGGGGCUGCGAUGCCUCACGAUGGUGGAAACCAGGCACAUCUGCCAAGCCGCCAAAUAUCUUUGUGAAUAUAAGAAGGAUUCAGUCCAACUAAAUCAUAAUCUGUUUAUAUAGCAGUAAUAAUAAAUCUAUUUAUACACAAGGAGCAGAAAUCGUAAUCCUAGCCAAAAGUAAGGAAAAGGGAAACCAAUCUGCUGCAUGCUAAGUAAGCUCCAAAUCUCUACAGCAGAUGAAAGGAGAUCAGAAUUUGAUUAUGAAAUAGCAGUAGUGUAUUCGAACGACUACCUAUGCAUUGUAAGGGCAUCCGUAAACUAGAGAGAGGGAACCGAGCGACCUUUCCUUUGUAGGAAUCCACGACCACAACGUCAGCCGGAGGCGGCAAAAGAACUUGGAAGGGGGUCGCGUGGCAACACUAAGCCACGAUGUUGAGGAAGCUAACAGGAGAGGUGGGAGCCGCGCUGGUAACCAGUGGCGACUAGGGUUCGCUGGUGCUUCCAGCCGCCGCAGUAUACCGCCUUCCACCGCAUGGCCGCUCCACUUCCACAAGGCCGACGUCGGGGUUGAGUUUCGCGUCAGAUCUGCGCGCGCCCAAGAUACCACUGCGAUUGCAGCUUGUAGGAGACGAGGGAGAGGUGCCAUUAAAGUGGUAGUGGACGAGGUUGAGGAGAUUCCGGAUUUCCGGGUAAGAGAAAGGGCGCAUGUGGGGAGGUGGAGGAACGAGGGAUCACCGGGACGGUGAGGGUGCAGAGAAGGGAUAAGGGGAUCGAUGGUGAGGGAUAAGAGGAGGGGGCGGCGGCGGGGGGAGAAAGAG
This 2984-nucleotide long non-coding RNA is filed under the name Triticum aestivum (bread wheat). RNAcentral's name for it is "long non-coding RNA (TAES_LNC009440)". The record is from RNAcentral. Lineage: Eukaryota; Viridiplantae; Streptophyta; Magnoliopsida; Poales; Poaceae.